AGUGAACGCUGGCGGUAGGCCUAACACAUGCAAGUCGAACGGCAGCACAGUAAGAGCUUGCUCUUACGGGUGGCGAGUGGCGGACGGGUGAGGAAUACAUCGGAAUCUACUUUUUCGUGGGGGAUAACGUAGGGAAACUUACGCUAAUACCGCAUUCGACCUACGGGUGAAAGCAGGGGAUCUUCGGACCUUGCGCGAUUGAAUGAGCCGAUGUCGGAUUAGCUAGUUGGCGGGGUAAAGGCCCACCAAGGCGACGAUCCGUAGCUGGUCUGAGAGGAUGAUCAGCCACACUGGAACUGAGACACGGUCCAGACUCCUACGGGAGGCAGCAGUGGGGAAUAUUGGACAAUGGGCGCAAGCCUGAUCCAGCCAUACCGCGUGGGUGAAGAAGGCCUUCGGGCUGUAAAGCCCUUUUGUUGGGAAAGAAAAGCAGCAGGUUAAUACCCCGCUGUUCUGACGGUACCCAAAGGAUAAGCACCGGCUAACUUCGUG
Molecule: ribosomal RNA, 492 nt
Filed under: uncultured bacterium
Lineage: Bacteria
Description: partial 16S ribosomal RNA
Rfam family: Bacterial small subunit ribosomal RNA
Source: RNAcentral